RNAcentral lists this ribosomal RNA (446 nucleotides) under uncultured bacterium. RNAcentral describes it as "partial 16S ribosomal RNA". It matches the Rfam family "Bacterial small subunit ribosomal RNA", at positions 338 to 795 of the family's 1533-position model. The record is from RNAcentral.
CCUACGGGAGGCAGCAGUCGAGAAUCAUUCACAAUGGGGGAAACCCUGAUGGUGCGACGCCGCGUGGGGGAAUGAAGGUCUUCGGAUUGUAAACCCCUGUCAUGUGGGAGCAAAUUAAAAAGAUAGUACCACAAGAGGAAGAGACGGCUAACUCUGUGCCAGCAGCCGCGGUAAUACAGAGGUCUCAAGCGUUGUUCGGAAUCACUGGGCGUAAGGCGUGCGUAGGCUGUUUCGUAAGUCGUGUGUGAAAGGCGCGGGCUCAACCCGCGGACGGCACAUGAUACUGCGAGACUAGAGUAAUGGAGGGGGAACCGGAAUUCUCGGUGGAGCAGUGAAAUGCGUAGAUAUCGAGAGGAACACUCGUGGCGAAGGCGGGUUCCUGGACAUUAACUGACGCUGAGGCACGAAGGCCAGGGGAGCGAAAGGGAUUAGAUACCCCAGUAGUC